This 254-nucleotide ribosomal RNA is filed under the name uncultured bacterium. RNAcentral's name for it is "partial 16S ribosomal RNA". It matches the Rfam family "Bacterial small subunit ribosomal RNA", at positions 1231 to 1500 of the family's 1533-position model. The record is from RNAcentral.
UGGCCGGUACAAUGCGAAGCGAAGCAGCGAUGUGAAGCAAAUCGCACCAAAGCCGGUCCCAGUUCGGAUACGAGGCUGAAACUCGCCUCUUUGAAGUCGGAAUCGCUAGUAAUCGCAGAUCAGCAUGUUGCGGUGAAUACGUUUCCUGGUCUUGUACACACCGCCCGUCAAACCAUGAGAGUCGCCAACACCCGAAGUCCGCUUUGCGGCCUAAGGUGGGGGAGAUGAUUGGGGUUAAGUCGUAACAAGGUAAC